AGAGUUUGAUCCUGGCUCAGAUUGAACGCUGGCGGUAUGCCUUACACAUGCAAGUCGAACGGCAGCACGGGAGCAAUCCUGGUGGCGAGUGGCGAACGGGUGAGUAAUAUAUCGGAACGUGCCCAGUCGUGGGGGAUAACGCAGCGAAAGCUGUGCUAAUACCGCAUACGAUCUAUGGAUGAAAGCGGGGGAUCGCAAGACCUCGCGCGAUUGGAGCGGCCGAUAUCAGAUUAGCUAGUUGGUGGGGUAAAGGCCCACCAAGGCGACGAUCUGUAGCUGGUCUGAGAGGACGACCAGCCACACUGGAACUGAGACACGGUCCAGACUCCUACGGGAGGCAGCAGUGGGGAAUUUUGGACAAUGGGCGCAAGCCUGAUCCAGCAAU
RNAcentral lists this ribosomal RNA (385 nucleotides) under uncultured bacterium. Its description in RNAcentral is "bacterial SSU rRNA". It matches the Rfam family "Bacterial small subunit ribosomal RNA", at positions 8 to 395 of the family's 1533-position model. The record is from RNAcentral.